CUCUUCUUCUCUAGCUGUUUUAAAGUUACUCAAGUUAAAAGCUUUACUGUUUUCUCGUGUAGCCUUAAGAAUAUGCAACCGAUUUAUAAUAUUGUUUAUCUUUUGUUUUCUAUUGUGACUUCUGUAAAUGAAUGGAUAUAAGAAAAUCAGCUUUAACUGUGAUUUUUUAUUCUGCCAAACAAUUCAACUGACAUUUCAAGAUUAUUGUGGUCAGCAUGUUUCUUAGUUUAACUUGAUGGCGAGAAAGAUUUUCAUCAAAUUAUUUCAAUCGUGUCUCAGAUCCAUGUCUUGCUACUGUUUCUAUUUAAAUGGCAACCUGAAAAACAGUCCAACAUUGAGCUGUUGAAGGAGGAAGCUAAAGCUAUCAAAACCGGUGUUUAAUGUUGGGCACUUCAAUAGGCAUCAAGAUGUUUAUUUUAACAUCCGCCUUUCUUGACAAUUUUAACUCUUUUUUAAGUCAUCAAACAAAAUGAACUGUUACUUUUUUGCUGUUACUACCUUAAAUUUCCAACCUUUAAUUACGACGCUUCAAGCAAUACUGGUAAUCGUCACAUUUCCACUCUAUUGUCAAAGAUAAUCUGUUCAGUGAUGAAAACUCCCGCCUAUUGUAAAUUCAAAGGGGAAAAAAGUUGACAAAGAAUCCCUUAGAUUAGCAAUCAUUUUCAUACUGAUUCCUUGUUUACGGGUCAAUAACAAGACUAGCAACAGAAACAGCAUAGUCUAACAACAAUGAAAUGUUGAUUUUUCAGUAUGCUAAUCACGAUCCGUCUGUGAUCAGAUUACACAGGAUGAUUGUUCAAGAAAUAGCCAAAAAAUCGUAACAAAUCUAGAAAAAUUAUUAACUUUAUAAAGCAACCAUGGCAUCAAAAACAAAAGGUAAACCAGUCUGGUUACAUUCAAAUCAUUGCAUAAAAAGAUAAAUUUUCAGGUUAGAAAGUGAGUACACUCAAGAGAAGGCAAGAUUUUUUUUCUUUGAAGUCGUUCUGCAACUUUGAUUAUCAACUGAUCACGAGUUUUAUCUGCAAAUGAUCCAAAAUAUCAACAUAAACAGAAUAAUCAUUGCAAGUUCAAUUCUAAUUCUUUUGUCUCGCCAUUUUUCCUUUUAGACGCACUUAAACCAUGGCAACUAAUGUGUUACGAGACAUAGCCAACAAAUUGGGAAUAUAAAACGUCCAAAAAUCUUUGAGGAAAAAAUAAGUUUCAAAGGAUGAAAAAGAUACAAGAAUGGAGCCAAUGGACUCUGAAAAAAUUUACAAGUCAGUCACACUGUAACUAAGUAAUAAAAGAUAUAAUUCUGAUAUGUUUCAAAAAGAGGCCUGAAAUGUAAAAGGAUUUCAUUUUGAAAAGGUAGAGGUGGUCUUUGAU
Non-coding RNA from Tetranychus urticae (two-spotted spider mite), 1365 nucleotides. The record is from RefSeq and is a predicted model, not a curated record. NCBI's taxonomy places the organism in Eukaryota, Metazoa, Arthropoda, Arachnida, Trombidiformes, Tetranychidae.